RNAcentral lists this long non-coding RNA (1200 nucleotides) under Apteryx haastii (Great spotted kiwi). Its description in RNAcentral is "lncRNA (ENSAHAG00000000784.1)". Lineage: Eukaryota; Metazoa; Chordata; Aves; Apterygiformes; Apterygidae. The record is from RNAcentral.
AUGUUGAGCAAAAAGGGAAAAUCUUCCGAAAGUGUCCGGGCCCAGCUUUGCCUGGUUUUGGCCGCCCUGCGGGAUGCUGAGCGCCGUGCGGUACCUGGCUCCCGCGUUGCCAUGGGAACCCCGGUCCCAAGCUCAGCCGGACGAGCGGCAAAAUCUGCUCUCGGUUUCCUCUGCCGCAGGCGCUCGUUUCCGGAGCGGCUCUCUGGUCUCCUGCCUGCAGCGCCGGCUCCUCCGGGAAAGGCCGUGCGGGGCCAUGCCGGGGGGCUCUGCCAGCCCGCAGGGAGAUUUUGGUGCCAAACGCAGCCUUUGGGCCCCCGUGGUGACCCCGAGGCRGUCGGGUGGCCUCGGUGGCGCCUCGCUGCUCCCCGGUGGGGCUGCGGCUGGAGGGGCCGGGGGCACCGGCACGGCCUGGACUCGGCCCCAGCAGAUGGGGAGGCCGAAGAGCAGCAAAACGUGGCUCCGUGCUGCCUCGCAAGCUGCUGGAGGACACAAGCUGGGGGCGUGCGGUCGCCAGCUCGGGGCGCCUGGACGAGCCACGAAGCGCCGGUGAGGGGCGUCGAGCUCCCGGCUCCACCGCCGAGGCCGGGCCCCCCUCGCCGCCCGGCCCGCGAUUCCCCCUCGGGAAGCAGUUUCCGUCGAGGAGAUGGCCUGAGCACCGCGGCGAAUCGCCCCUUUGCGAGGAAUCCUGCACGGGACGAUGAAAGGCGAGCGGCGGCCGCAGGUGCCGGCGGCUCUGCUCCCCGGCGCGCCCGGGCUCCGGCUCGGUGCUCGGCGCGUGCCGGCGGCUCAGUUUGCAGCGGAUCUAAUUACCGACGGUGUCGGCAGAGAUGGGGCAGCGGUGGCAGCCCGCGUGCAAUCGCAGGGCUGCGAUCGUGCUGGCUCCCCYCUUCCUGCCCGCUGCCGGGAAGGCUUAUUCCCCGCCGCUUACUUCCGCCGGCAAAUUGCGAACGCAUCUCGGAGACCACCGGAGUUUUUUUUCUUUUUUUAAAAAAACACACAAAAAGCCGCCUGGCAGCUCUCUGCCUCGGUGUCGCCGUGCGCCAGCUCCGCAGGGCUGCGAUUCCCGCGCGGAGGGAGCCCGCACGGAUUGAUUUCACGACCCAGGCAAGGCCGGGAAAUCGGCAUUUAUCGCUGCCUGGUGCYGGAGCUGUUAAUUUUUUGCAGUCUAUAGCUGAAAACUCUCAGCACGGCUCCUUCUGA